GAUGAACGCUAGCGGCAGGCUUAAUACAUGCAAGUCGAGGGGCAUCAAGGUACACGAAAGUGUAUUGUUGGCGACCGGCGGACGGGUGAGUAAUAGGUAGGUAACCUACCUCAUACUGAGGCAUAGCUGGGAGAAAUUCCAGGUAAUUCCUCAUGAGGUUAUAUGACACAUGUGAUAUAAUCAAAGGUAUCGCAAGGUACUGGUAUGAGAUGGGCUUACUGACCAUUAGCUAGUUGGUGAGAUAAGAGCUCACCAAGGCGAAGAUGGUUAGGGGUUUUAGAGAGAGAUCCCCCACAUUGGAACUGAGAUACGGUCCAGACUCCUACGGGAGGCAGCAGUAGGGAAUAUUGGGCAAUGGCGGAAGCCUGACCCAGCCAUGCCGCGUGAAGGAAGACGGCCUUAUGGGUGUAAACUUCUUUACUAUGCGACUAAACUAGUAAUUUACGAGUAUAAUUCUAAUAGAAUGUAGCAUAGACAAAAAGCACCGGA
This 489-nucleotide ribosomal RNA is filed under the name uncultured bacterium. RNAcentral's name for it is "bacterial SSU rRNA". It matches the Rfam family "Bacterial small subunit ribosomal RNA", at positions 28 to 497 of the family's 1533-position model. The record is from RNAcentral.